Molecule: unclassified non-coding RNA, 254 nt
Filed under: uncultured Gemmatimonadota bacterium
Lineage: Bacteria; Pseudomonadati; Gemmatimonadota
Description: uncultured Gemmatimonadetes bacterium contains 16S-23S intergenic spacer region
Rfam family: Bacterial small subunit ribosomal RNA
Source: RNAcentral
UACGGAGGGUGCAAGCGUUGUUCGGAAUUAUUGGGCGUAAAGCGCACGUAGGCGGCCUUUUAAGUCUCGUGGUGAAAUGCCGGGGCUCAACCCCGUGCCCGCCAGGGAUACUGGAAGGCUGGAGACAGGUAGAGGCGAGCGGAAUUCCGGGUGUAGCGGUGGAAUGCGUAGAGAUCCGGAAGAACACCAGAGGCGAAGGCGGCUCGCUGGACCUGUUCUGACGCUGAGGUGCGAAAGCGUGGGGAGCGAACAGG